UCUGGCCAAUUAGGAGCUGACCUGC
This 25-nucleotide non-coding RNA is filed under the name Rattus norvegicus (Norway rat). The record is from RNAcentral. Lineage: Eukaryota; Metazoa; Chordata; Mammalia; Rodentia; Muridae.